GUCUGGAAAGGCGCGCGAUACAGGGUGACAGCCCCGUACACAAAAAUGCACAUACUGUGAGCUCGAUGAGUAGGGCGGGACACGUGGUAUCCUGUCUGAAUAUGGGGGGACCAUCCUCCAAGGCUAAAUACUCCUGACUGACCGAUAGUGAACCAGUACCGUGAGGGAAAGGCGAAAAGAACCCCGGCGAGGGGAGUGAAAAAGAACCUGAAACCGUGUACGUACAAGCAGUGGGAGCCUCUUAAUGGGGUGACUGCGUACCUUUUGUAUAAUGGGUCAGCGACUUAUAUUCUGUAGCAAGGUUAACCGAAUAGGGGAGCCGAAGGGAAACCGAGUCUUAACUGGGCGUUAAGUUGCAGGGUAUAGA
Molecule: ribosomal RNA, 367 nt
Filed under: Escherichia coli
Lineage: Bacteria; Pseudomonadati; Pseudomonadota; Gammaproteobacteria; Enterobacterales; Enterobacteriaceae
Description: partial 23S ribosomal RNA
Rfam family: Bacterial large subunit ribosomal RNA
Source: RNAcentral